CCAGCAGCCGCGGUAAUUCCAGCUCCAAUAGCGUAUAUUAAAGUUGUUGCAGUUAAAAAGCUCGUAGUUGGAUUUCUGAAUGGAUACCGAUGCCCGCCUGCUGGCGUGUGCAAAGGUGCCCGUUCAUCCUUCUGUUAAGGUUUCUUAGUAUUCACUUACUGGUUUCCGGCUCAGAUAUUUUACCUUGAAUAAAUUAGAGUGUUUCAGGCAAGCUUGGUCUUGAAUACAUUAGCAUGGAAUAAUAGAAUAGGACUCUAGAUCCUUUGUUGGUUUCUGGAUUUGGAGUAAUGAUUAAUAGGGAUAGUUGGGGGCAUUAGUAUUUAAUUGUCAGAGGUGAAAUUCUUGGAUUUAUUAAAGACUAACUUAUGCGAAAGCAUUUGCCAAGGAU
Molecule: ribosomal RNA, 388 nt
Filed under: uncultured eukaryote
Lineage: Eukaryota
Description: SSU rRNA
Rfam family: Eukaryotic small subunit ribosomal RNA
Source: RNAcentral